RNAcentral lists this transfer RNA (72 nucleotides) under Jaagichlorella hainangensis. RNAcentral's name for it is "tRNA-Glu". It matches the Rfam family "tRNA". From Rfam's summary of the family: Transfer RNA (tRNA) molecules are approximately 80 nucleotides in length. Their secondary structure includes four short double-helical elements and three loops (D, anti-codon, and T loops). The record is from RNAcentral. Lineage: Eukaryota; Viridiplantae; Chlorophyta; Trebouxiophyceae; Watanabeales; Watanabeaceae.
GUCCUUUUCGUCUAUCGGCUAGGACAUUGCUUUUUCACAGCAAAAAGAGGAGUUCAAUUCUCCUAGAGGACA